UUUUGUAGCUUGGUUCAUGGCACUUGAGCAGCAAAUUCAUGGCCCUUACACUGAAUACUAAAAUGAUGUACAGGCCAGCCAGUGAAGCUAGUUGUAAGUGCAGAGAUUCAUAAACAGAGUCAUCCUGUGAUUUGUCCGUGUCUCCCCGUAUUAACAUUUUACUCUUACUUCGCGAAGGGAGUUGGGCCUCCUGAGCAUGGUCUCCGUGUUGAGGUGGCUUUUCCUUCUUUCCCUGCUUCUGUCAUCAGCUAUGUGGAUUACCCCAUCUACGACGUGCUUCAGAUGGUGGGCCACGCCAACCGCCCUUUGCAGGAUGAUGAGGGGCGCUGUGUCAUCAUGUGUCAGGGCUCCAAGAAGGAUUUCUUCAAGAAGUUCUUAUAUGAGCCAUUGCCAGUAGAAUCUCACCUGGACCACUGUAUGCAUGACCACUUCAAUGCUGAGAUCGUCACCAAGACCAUUGAGAACAAGCAGGAUGCUGUGGACUACCUCACCUGGACCUUUCUGUACCGCCGCAUGACACAGAACCCCAAUUACUACAACCUGCAGGGCAUCUCCCAUCGUCACUUGUCGGACCACUUGUC
RNAcentral lists this small RNA (581 nucleotides) under Pan troglodytes (chimpanzee). Its description in RNAcentral is "retained intron". Lineage: Eukaryota; Metazoa; Chordata; Mammalia; Primates; Hominidae. The record is from RNAcentral.